RNAcentral lists this ribosomal RNA (967 nucleotides) under Salmonella enterica. RNAcentral describes it as "partial 23S ribosomal RNA". It matches the Rfam family "Bacterial large subunit ribosomal RNA", at positions 1193 to 2141 of the family's 2925-position model. The record is from RNAcentral. Lineage: Bacteria; Pseudomonadati; Pseudomonadota; Gammaproteobacteria; Enterobacterales; Enterobacteriaceae.
UACAAAGUCGAGUCGGUUUAAGGAUACGUUCGUUGGGUAGGGGAGCGUUCUGUAAGCCUGUGAAGGUGUGUCGUGAGGCAUGCUGGAGGUAUCAGAAGUGCGAAUGCUGACAUAAGUAACGAUAAAGCGGGUGAAAAGCCCGCUCGCCGGAAGACCAAGGGUUCCUGUCCAACGUUAAUCGGGGCAGGGUGAGUCGACCCCUAAGGCGAGGCCGAAAGGCGUAGUCGAUGGGAAACGGGUUAAUAUUCCCGUACUUGGUGUUACUGCGAAGGGGGGACGGAGAAGGCUAUGUUGGCCGGGCGACGGUUGUCCCGGUUUAAGCGUGUAGGUGUGUGUUCCAGGUAAAUCCGGUUCACUUUAACACUGAGGCGUGACGACGAGGCACUACGGUGCUGAAGCAACAAAUGCCCUGCUUCCAGGAAAAGCCUCUAAGCAUCAGGUAACAUCAAAUCGUACCCCAAACCGACACAGGUGGUCAGGUAGAGAAUACCAAGGCGCUUGAGAGAACUCGGGUGAAGGAACUAGGCAAAAUGGUGCCGUAACUUCGGGAGAAGGCACGCUGACACGUAGGUGAAGUGAUUUACUCAUGGAGCUGAAGUCAGUCGAAGAUACCAGCUGGCUGCAACUGUUUAUUAAAAACACAGCACUGUGCAAACACGAAAGUGGACGUAUACGGUGUGACGCCUGCCCGGUGCCGGAAGGUUAAUUGAUGGGGUCAGCGCAAGCGAAGCUCCUGAUCGAAGCCCCGGUAAACGGCGGCCGUAACUAUAACGGUCCUAAGGUAGCGAAAUUCCUUGUCGGGUAAGUUCCGACCUGCACGAAUGGCGUAAUGAUGGCCAGGCUGUCUCCACCCGAGACUCAGUGAAAUUGAACUCGCUGUGAAGAUGCAGUGUACCCGCGGCAAGACGGAAAGACCCCGUGAACCUUUACUAUAGCUUGACACUGAACAUUGAGCCUUGAUGUGUAG